AAAUUUAUGUUCAAGACGGUUCAAGCGUCUUGAUCAUUUAGAACCUAUACUUUGCUGCCGUCAUGUCAAACAUUUCCAUUGGAAGAACACUUGAGAGCUAUUGACUUUGACCCCCUGCGCUAUUAUUUGGACUUCAAUGACCUGGAACGUAGUUCUAGAUAAAGAAAAUCACUGGGAUGUAAUUCUAACCUAUAAAUUAGUUGCCACUACUUUGUUAUCCAAGUCAAAAAAUAUUUCCUUGGAAUAUUUGACGAUUUUUUUUGUACAGGAAGUGUUUUGUGUUACAAACAACCUUCCAGAGUUUAAAAGCAUCAAGCUUAUAGUCCGAACUCUCUUCGUAUUAGCAAAGUACCAACUGGCUGGGGUUAGAGGUCAUUAGGGGAUUUAUCUAGUAGUAGAUUGGAACGAGCACCCGUAGAAUAAAUAUCAUGUCUUUUUGGUUUGUCACCCAGCUAGGAUGGUUUGCUUGGAUUUGUCGUAGUUUAUGGUUGAAGAUGGUAUGAUGGUUCACAUGUGGAGGGUACAAAUUCUCUUUAUAUUCAGGCUUUCUUUAAAUUUUAUCAUAUGUCCAGAUGCUUUGUCAUCUUUCAUUGUUCGACAUGCAAUUCUAACUCUAUUGCUGUCACAGUUGGGGCUGCUGUAGCUGUUGUGGGACUGGCAGCUUACCGUGUUUAUGCUGCGCGGAAGAAUGCAUCGAGCUGAGAAUUGAGAUGGUGUGAUCAUAAUAUGCCAGUCAUGGUUUCAAAUAUCAAGUUUCUCUUGUCUGAUCUCUUGUGCCAUGGUUUGUUGCUUGGUUUUCUGGUAUUGUGCAUAUCUCCGAAUUCCAACAUGGAGAAAAAUGCAAAUAUUUUUGUGAUCGCUGCUUUAGAUCUGUUACAUAUUAGCGGCUUUUCUUUUGUAGCAUCUCAAUUAGAAAGUACUGGACGUGCCUUUUCUUUCGAAGUGGAGAAGCCCCAUUGCUGGCAGGGUUGAUUUGCUGCGAAAUAAAAUGUUUAAAAUAAACUUUGUUUAAGAAACUUGGAAGUAAACAUGAAGCGACCUUUUAGGUUAUAUCGUAUUUUAAGGAAAAUUUUAUUGAAUUGUUGUAGGAUUUUGUAUUUUUGAAAAGUUGUCUAGCAUUUCCCAUAAAGCUUGAAGAAGUAAUAUCAACCAAUUUCCUAAUUUGCAUUAUUCCUUGAUGGAACUUCAAUUAAACUGCGAUAUAAUUAGCCUUUACUAAUUUUAUUAUUUGAUUCUUCAACGUCUCUUGUGGAAGUUUUAGAUAAUCUUGCAUUGAUAAUACGGCCACCGGCCUGAGUCGUUGCGCGUUAUUAAAUUCCUAAAUUAAGCACUUUGUUUAAAAAGUACUCUACUAGUUUUUAUUCUUCCUAUACAAGUUACAACACAAAAAAUAGAAAAAGAAAAAAAAUACUUAAAAUAAGUCAUCUUCUCCAUUUUGGAUUAAAAUGUAUAAUGGCAAUACUUCUCCAUUUCUCAUCUUCAAAGAUUUCACUAAUAAAAAUUAUCAAUUAUAUAAUUCAAUUUAUAUACAUAAAUAACAUGAAAAAUAUAUAUUAUCCAAUAAUAAAUUAUAAAAGCAUUAAUUCAAUCCGCUAAUCACUGCCAAUUCACUAGUUCUCUCCCAUUGAAGUUUAAUACUAUAUAUAUUUUUUCUUCCCCUUGUAUGUUUUUUAUUAAGAUCUAUUAGGAACAUGUAUACCCGGUUUAAGAAUGAUCAUCGUUUCGGUGAAGAUUUGGCGAUGGAGAUACUACAAAGGUUACCUGUGAAACCAUUGUUGCGAUUCAAAUGCACGAGCAAGAAUUGGUACAGUCUUAUUAAUAGCCAUAUGUUUAUUGGUAAACAAUUGAAUUAUCAUGAAAGUAAGAAUGAACUGAAAAUGCUAAUUCGUAGCCAUGAUGCGAUUCCCGGAAUGGACAUAAUUUCGAAUUCGGAAGGAACCUCUGUAAUUGAAAAUGCUGAUCAUCUGUCGAGUUUUCUUGCUAAUACAUUUCAUAUGGUAGGCCAUGUGAAUGGCGUGUUUUUAUUUCAAAAAGACUAUGGUGGAUCUGAUCGUAGAAUGGGAUUCUGGAAUCCUGCAACAAGGGGGUUAACCACCCUCCCUUACGUCCAUUUCCUGUUACAACCAUUUUUCAAUGAAUCGGGUGGGUUUACCGGGUUUGAAUUAGACCCUUUUACAGGUAACUACAAGGUGAUUUGGGUUCGCCAGUUCUCUGAUGGUAACUGUGAUUCUUCGUUUCAUCGAGCAUAUGCAGCGGUUUAUUCCUCUUCUAAAGGCUCUUGGAGAUUUAUUAAACAUAAAGAUCACAGAAUUCUCACUACCUCUGGUUGUUACUCCUGUAGUUAUCCCAAUUCAACUGGUUACCUUAAUGGAGCUUAUUACUGGAUGAUCAGGUGGGAAGCUGACUGCGGCCUUCUUUCAUUUGAUUUUGACAAUGAGGUGUUCCGUGAGAUUUCAGGGCCAGAUGUUCCAUAUAGUAAUAAUCGUCACUACAACGUCAUAUUGAUUGAUGGCUCUAUUCACUUUUUGAUCAAAGAUGACAAGAGCAUAGACUUUGGUUUGUGGGUUAUGAUCCAACCUGGUAUUUGGAACAAACUUGUUACCUUUCAAUACUUUUUAACUAGUUGCCCUAUCUUACAGGGAUUCUGGGAUUCUAACACACCCAUUUUCGUAAGUAAACUUGAUGGGCUAACCUCCUAUGAUAUUAACACCCACGAGAUAACGCAUCUCAAACUUCGAUAUACGGAAUAUAUUUGUAGUUUUAGUAUUUUUAUUAUAAGGAGAGCUUAGUAACAAUUAAGUGAUCAAGGAGAUGUAUAUAUCAACCAUUGUCUUCUGAGAUGAUCUCUUAUGACUCAUGAGACAAGACAUCAGGGCGAUAUUUGUGGUUGUAUGUAUGGUUUAUUUUUAUAAGGAGAGCUUAGUAACAAUUAAGUGAGGGAGAUGUAUAUAUCAACCAUUGUCUUCUGAGAUGAUCUCUUAUGACUCAUGAGACAAGACAUCAGGGCGAUAUUUGUGGUUGUAUGUAUGGUUUAUUUUUAUAAGGAGAGCUUAGUAACAAUUACACAGACCAUUGUAGCUUACCUGACAUACUUGCCUCCUCCAUAAACAAUUGAAAUAUUGAUGCUUUACACAAUUGCUGCAUCUAUUGUUUGAGUGUUGACAACUUGGUUUAUCAAAACGGUCUUUUAUGAGUUUGAUUUAUUCAUGGCUUCAAGUUUUUUUGUUCCAAAUGGGAUUGCGUACGUUAAUAUACCAAUACAAGACACUAUUGAAUUGACAAUUAACAUCGAGAAGAGUAUAUAUAGUUUAGUCUUGCUAGGUCUCUUAAGGCUGUGCAUUGAAUUCUUAAACCUAGAAUUUGAUGUCUUUAUUUAACAAACCUUCUCCCCAUGAGAAAAUUUGAAUAUCUGUAAUUUCACAUUGGCUUCUGGGAUUCUAGCACUCAUUUUCUUUACUAGAAAUUCUCGGGUGGUCUCCUCUGAUGCUCAGGUUGGGGAGAUGAGGCAUUUUAGAUUUCGAUAUCAGAGCCAGAGAAGUAGGUGUAGAAUUUAUUAUUGCAAGGAGAGCUUUAGUAACAAUUGGACGAGUAAAUGAGGAUCUGGACCAACAUAUUUGACUCCUCUGUGAGCAUCUGAUAUAAUUUAAUGAGUUAAAAUCUAGUAAAAUUCAUAAUAUUGCAACUUGCAAGUAAGUAACUAUACUAUUUUUGUAAGUUACUAAUUUAAUUUCAAGUGCGUUGGGCUUAACCAUUUAAUUGCGGUACAUUUAGCCAUGGCUCAAAUAGCUAUUGUAGAGUCGUAUUGUUUUCUAGUUUCUCUUAGUUACUUGGUAUCUGUUAAGUAUAGGAAUUAUAGGGUGCCUCCAACUUUAUAAACUAGUGUAAUUUAUAUGGCCACCAGCAUUAUGCAGACUCGUUGAAGAUUUAGAAAGGGAAAUGUUGCCUGUUGCGAUUCAAGUGCUUCUGCAAUAGGUGGUUCACCCCUCUCUUUAUAAGAUAAUACGGCCACCGGCCUCAAGGAAAUUAAAGGGAGGUUGUCUAUGUUGCAAUUCAAGUGCAUGCAUUUGACAUAAUAUCAAAUUCCUAAAGCACUUUGUUUUGCAUCUGUUGUUUAAAAAUACUCUACCACAAAAAAUAGAAAAAGAAACUAAUGCUAAAAAACUACUACGGAGUAUAAAAUAAGUCAUCUUCUCCAUUUUGGAUUAAAAUGUACUAUAAUGCAAUACUUCUCAUCUUCAAAGAUUUCACUAAUAAAAAUAUAUUUAUUUGUGAUUUAAGUAUUUAAUUCAAUUUAUAUACAUAACAUGAAAAUAUAUAUUAUCCAAUAAUAAAUUAUAAAAGCAUUAAUUCAAUCCGCUAAUCACUGCCAAUUCACUAGUUCUCUCCCAUUAAAAUUUAAUACUAUAUAUAUUUUUUUCUUCCCCUCCUGUAUGUUUUUUAUUAAGAUCUAUUAGGAACAUGUAUACCGGGUUUAAGAAUGAUCGUCGUUUCGGUGAAGAUUUGGCGAUGGAGAUACUACAAAGGUUACCUGUGAAACCGUUGUUGCGAUUCAAAUGCACGAGCAAGAAUUGGUACAGUCUUAUUAAUAGCCAUAUGUUGAUUGGUAAACAGUUGAAUUAUCAUGAAAGUAAGAAUAAACUGAAAAUGUUAAUUCAUAGCCAUGAUGACAUUCCCAGAGUCGACAUAAUUUCGAAUUCGGAAGGAACCCCUGUAAUUGAAAAUGCUGAUCAUCUGUCGAGUUUUCUUGCUAAUACAUAUCUUAUGGGAGGCCAUGUGAAUGGCGUGUUUUUAUUUAAAAAAGCAUGUGGUGGAUCUGAUCGUAGAAUGGGAAUGUGGAAUCCUGCAACAAGGGGGGUAACCACCCUCCCUGACGCCCAUUUCCUGUUACAACCAUUUUUCUGGGAAUCGGGUGGGUUUACCGGGUUUGAAUUAGACCCUUUUACAGGUUACUACAAGGUGAUUUGGGUUCGCGAGUUCUAUGAUGAUAUCUUUGAAACUUCGUUUCAUCGAGCAUAUGCAGCGGUUUAUUCCUCUUCUAAAGGCUCUUGGAGAUUUAUUAAACAUAAAGAUCACAGAAUUCUCACUACCUCUGGUUAUUACUCCUGUACUUAUCCCGAUUCAACUGGUUACCUUAAUGGAGCUUAUUACUGGAUGAUCACGUGGAUAGAUGACUGCGGCCUUCUUUCAUUUGAUUUUGACAAUGAGGUGUUCCGUGAGAUUUCAGGGCCAGAUGUUCCAUAUAGUGAUCGUCGUCAAUACAACGUCAUAUUGAUUGAUGGCUCUAUUCACUUUUUGAUCAAAGAUGACAUGAGCAUAGACUUUGGUUUGUGGUUUAUGAUCCAACCUGGUGUUUGGAACAAACUUGUUACCUUUCAAUACUUUUUAACUAGUUGGCCUAACUUACAGGGAUUCUGGGAUUCUAACACACCCAUUUUCGUAAGUGAACUUGAUGGGCUAACCUCCUAUGAUAUUAACACCCACGAGAUAACGCAUCUCAAACUUCGAUAUAAGGAAUAUAUUUGUAGUUUUAGUAUUUUUUCUUAUAAGGAGAGCUUAGUAACAAUUAAGUGAGGGAGAUGUAUAUAUCAACCACUGUCUUCUGAGAUGAUCUCUUAUGACUCAUGAGACAANNNNNNNNNNNNNNNNNNNNNNNNNNNNNNNNNNNNNNNNNNNNNNNNNNNNNNNNNNNNNNNNNNNNNNNNNNNNNNNNNNNNNNNNNNNNNNNNNNNNUAAAUGCAACCACUCUAUGCACAGCACAUGUUGUAUUUUACUCAACUGCUGAACUACUUCUACCUUAGAAAGGAAAUAGAGAUGAAGAGAGGGAGGAGCAUACCAUUAUAAUUCCACCACAUAUUCUAUUCUUUCUUUUUUUUUCCUUUUCACAGUUGUUCCUUGCAUUUUCGAAGUAGCUCAUCUUAAUACCUUUUAUGUCCAGUUCUCAUGAAGCUUCUUGGAAGAGAGCAGCAGAUUUACUGGUGGAUGUUGCCAGCCACGGAGAAGCCACUGGGUAUGAGAUGCCUUGUCUCAUUGUAGCAGCUAAAGAUGAUCUGGAGCCUUAUUUGACCGAAAUUCAAGAUUCUACCAGGGUAUCUAUCCUUAUCCUACAUACCAUCAAGAAUUGAAUAUAUUUUUUGUCAAGUAGUAAUUUUAUAUUCAGGUUCAAUGUAUUUAUCUCCUGACAUUUUUAGUGAAAUGCCUUUUACCUGCGUGACGUUUACUUUUGUGAUUGCUGCACCAUAUCAAAACAAUUUUCUUGAAGGGUGAAGCUCAGCUAGUACUGCUGCAUGUGAUUGAGUAUAUCCAUGUUCCUGGUGUAAUUUAUCUUCUGUAGAGGCUAAACCUACAUGAUGUAUUAUCUUAAGUUGUUAGGCAGUGCACAUUUUUAGUAUAAUUUGAUAUUUGCUAAUAUAUUAUGAAUUUGUUUAAUAGGUUAGCCAGGAUUUAGGGAUAGAAGCUCCUAUACCCAUCAGCACGAAGCUUGGGGAUUUCAGUAAUUUGUUCCGAAGGAUAGUUAAUGCAGCGGAACAUCCACAUUUGAGCAUCCCUGAAACUGAAGCGGGAAGAAGCCGUAAGCAAUAUCAUCGGCUCGUCAAUCGAUCUCUUAUGUUUGUAUCAGGUAACAAUUUGAUUUGAUUUCUUUUUGGACCUUUAAGAACUUUUUACGGCUACCAAGUUACAGAAAACAAAUAAUUAGAACUAACGUUAUUAUGGGUUUCACCAUGUAUAUUUCCUUGUUCUUGUGAAAAAAAAGAUGUCCUUAUCUUUGGAAGUUAACAGUUGAUGAUACAGCAGUUUCUUUUGGUUUUAGUAGGGCUGAAAUUUAUGUUCAAGACGGUUCAAGCGUCUUGAUCAUUUAGAACCUAUACUUUGCUGCCGUCAUGUCAAACAUUUCCAUUGGAAGAACACUUGAGAGCUAUUGACUUUGACCCCCUGCGCUAUUAUUUGAACUUCAAUGACCUAGAACGUAGUUCUAGAUAAAGAAAAUCACUGGGAUGUAAUUCUAACCUAUAAAUUAGUUGCCACUACUUUGUUAUCCAAGUCAAAAAAUAUUUCCUUGGAAUAUUUGACGAUUUUUUUUGUACAGGAAGUGUUUUGUGUUACAAACAACCUUCCAGAGUUUAAAAGCAUCAAGCUUAUAGUCCGAACUCUCUUCGUAUUAGCAAAGUACCAACUGGCUGGGGUUAGAGGUCAUUAGGGGAUUUAUCUAGUAGUAGAUUGGAACGAGCACCCGUAGAAUAAAUAUCAUGUCUUUUUGGUUUGUCACCCAGCUAGGAUGGUUUGCUUGGAUUUGUCGUAGUUUAUGGUUGAAGAUGGUAUGAUGGUUCACAUGUGGAGGGUACAAAUUCUCUUUAUAUUCAG
Molecule: long non-coding RNA, 7359 nt
Filed under: Solanum tuberosum (potato)
Lineage: Eukaryota; Viridiplantae; Streptophyta; Magnoliopsida; Solanales; Solanaceae
Description: long non-coding RNA (STUB_LNC002278)
Source: RNAcentral